UGCACAGCAAAUGCAGGUUGGUCUUCUAACAGGAGGAAAGGGUGAAAACAUCUGGCACCCAGCCCUUUGGGCAGGACGGGUUCUUACAGAUGGAUCAAUACUCCUAGAAGAAACAAAGAGGUAAAUCUUUCCAAGGAGAACCAUUAUCAAGUGGCAAGGAUGUUAUGAAAUAUACUGAGAAGAAACUAAGAAGGAAAGAUUUGUUCUUCUGGAACAUGAACAGUGACACUGAUCCAAGUGGCUCCUGGAAAGGGCUUGGCACACUUAGAAAAACAAGGAAGAAUAAGAUUUGGUCUCUGACCAGAAAGUAUUUAUAAUCCAACCAAAGAGAUAAACUUGCAUAGAAGUAACUUCGAAAUGAAACCAGGAGUUUGCCUGCAUAGUCUGAACUUCUGCGUCUCAUUCUAAGUCAGACUGUAAACAUGUCCCUUUGAUGGGUUUCCCACUUCCAGAACUAGUUAGGUAAAUCGUAACCAUUGGGGAAAAGUGGAUGAAGGGCGCAGAGGAUCUCCCUGUACUAUUGUUACAACUUCCUGUGCAUCCGAACUCUGCUUCUACUUAGACCGUAUUCCUGGAGUAGUACGUCUCCGUUCUGGAUCUGGCACUUGAAACUGGCCACAGUGGAGAACUUUUAACCUACAUAAACUGGAAAAGAGGAAUCUCAGAGAAGCACUCACCAUAAAGGAGAAAGCUAUUGACUUCUUGUUUAUCUCAUUUUGUGUCCUGAGAACUUGGCUUGACAACCAUGAGGUUGAGGGCCCCAUAAACAUGGCUGGAUAGAAAUAAUUUAUCAGCAAGAAAAAUAACUCAACAUGACGAUUAGCUGUUUAAUGUCUCGUGAAACUUACAGUAAUGUAAACAUAAUUGCUAAGAACAAGUAAAUCGAUAGAGAGCAUGCACUCCAGCAACAGGAGGUGGAGAAGGAAAGGGAGAGAGUUCCA
Molecule: long non-coding RNA, 941 nt
Organism: Ailuropoda melanoleuca (giant panda)
Lineage: Eukaryota; Metazoa; Chordata; Mammalia; Carnivora; Ursidae
Exons: 8
Source: RefSeq, a predicted model, not a curated record